RNAcentral lists this ribosomal RNA (164 nucleotides) under uncultured bacterium. Its description in RNAcentral is "partial 16S rRNA". It matches the Rfam family "Bacterial small subunit ribosomal RNA", at positions 355 to 511 of the family's 1533-position model. The record is from RNAcentral.
UAGGGAAUCUUCCACAAUGGACGCAAGUCUGAUGGAGCAACGCCGCGUGAGUGAAGAAGAUCUUCGGAUCGUAAAACUCUGUUGUUAGAGAAGAACACGAGUGAGAGUAACUGUUCAUUCGAUGACGGUAUCUAACCAGCAAGUCACGGCUAACUACGNGCCAG